This 199-nucleotide ribosomal RNA is filed under the name uncultured bacterium. RNAcentral describes it as "partial 16S ribosomal RNA". It matches the Rfam family "Bacterial small subunit ribosomal RNA", at positions 328 to 539 of the family's 1533-position model. The record is from RNAcentral.
ACGCUCGACACCUACGGGAGGUAGCAGUGGGGAAUAUUGCACAAUGGGGGAAACCCUGAUGCAGCGACGCCGCGUGGAGGAAGAAGGUCUUCGGAUUGUAAACUCCUGUCCCAGGGGACGAUAAUGACGGUACCCUGGGAGGAAGCACCGGCUAACUACGUGCUAGCAGCCGCGGUAAUCUGAGGCGGGCUGGCAAGGC